Molecule: ribosomal RNA, 465 nt
Filed under: uncultured Methanosaeta sp.
Lineage: Archaea; Methanobacteriati; Methanobacteriota; Methanomicrobia; Methanotrichales; Methanotrichaceae
Description: bacterial SSU rRNA
Rfam family: Archaeal small subunit ribosomal RNA
Source: RNAcentral
AGCACCACAACGGGUGGAGCUUGCGGUUUAAUUGGAUUCAACGCCGGAAAUCUUACCGGGACCGACAGCAAUAUGAAGGCCAGGCUGAAGACUUUUGCCGGAUUAGCUGAGAGGUGUGCAUGGCCGUCGUCAGUUCGUACUGUGAAGCAUCCUGUUAAGUCAGGCAACGAGCGAGACCCACGCCCACAGUUGCCAGCGUACUCUCUGGAGUGACGGGUACACUGCGGGGACCGCCGGCUGCUAAAGCGGAGGAAGGAAUGGGCAACGUAGGUCAGUAUGCCCCGAAUAUCCCGGGCUACACGCGAGCUACAAUGGUUGGUACAAUGGGUAUCUACCCCGAAAGGGGACGGGAAAUCUCCUAAAACCAAUCUUAGUUCGGAUUGAGGGCUGCAACUCGCCCUCAUGAAGCUGGAAUCCGUAGUAAUCGCGUUUCAACAGAACGCGGUGAAUACGUCCCUGCUCCUU